RNAcentral lists this ribosomal RNA (367 nucleotides) under uncultured organism. Its description in RNAcentral is "bacterial SSU rRNA". It matches the Rfam family "Bacterial small subunit ribosomal RNA", at positions 526 to 896 of the family's 1533-position model. The record is from RNAcentral.
CGAAGGUGGCAAGCGUUGUUCGGAUUUACUGGGCGUACAGGGAGCGUAGGCGUUGGAUAAGCCCUCCGUGAAAUCUCCAGGCUUAACCUGGAAAGUGCAGAGGGGACUGUUCAGCUAGAGGAUGGGAGAGGAGCGCGGAAUUCCCGGUGUAGCGGUGAAAUGCGUAGAGAUCGGGAGGAAGGCCGGUGGCGAAGGCGGCGCUCUGGAACAUUUCUGACGCUGAGGCUCGAAAGCGUGGGGAGCAAACAGGAUUAGAUACCCUGGUAGUCCACGCCUUAAACGAUGGAUACUAAGUGUCGGCGGGUUACCGCCGGUGCCGCAGCUAACGCAGUAAGUAUCCCGCCUGGGAAGUACGGCCGCAAGGUUG